UACGUAGGGUGCAAGCGUUGUCCGGAAUUAUUGGGCGUAAAGAGCUCGUAGGCGGUUUGUCGCGUCGAAUGUGAAAUCCCGGGGCUCAACCCCGGGUCUGCAUUCGAUACGGGCAGACUAGAGUUCGGUAGGGGAGUCUGGAAUUCCUGGUGUAGCGGUGAAAUGCGCAGAUAUCGGGAGGAACACCGGUGGCGAAGGCGGGACUCUGGGCCGAUACUGACGCUGAGGAGCGAAAGCGUGGGGAGCAAACAGG
Molecule: ribosomal RNA, 253 nt
Filed under: uncultured bacterium
Lineage: Bacteria
Description: partial 16S ribosomal RNA
Rfam family: Bacterial small subunit ribosomal RNA
Source: RNAcentral